RNAcentral lists this ribosomal RNA (467 nucleotides) under uncultured bacterium. RNAcentral describes it as "partial 16S ribosomal RNA". It matches the Rfam family "Bacterial small subunit ribosomal RNA", at positions 28 to 507 of the family's 1533-position model. The record is from RNAcentral.
GACGAACGCUGGCGGCGUGCUUAACACAUGCAAGUCGAACGGAAAGGCUCUGCCUUUGUGGGGUGCUCGAGUGGCGAACGGGUGAGUAACACGUGGGUAAUCUGCCCUUCACUCUGGGAUAAGUCUGGGAAACUGGGGCUAAUACUGGAUAUGAGCUUUUGCUUCAUGGGGUUUGGUGGAAAGUUUCGCGGUUUAGGAUGGGACUGCGGCCUAUCAGCUUGUUGGUGGGGGUAUGGCCUACCAAGGCGACGACGGGUAGCCGGCCUGAGAGGGUGAUCGGCCACAUUGGGACUGAGAUACGGCCCAGACUCCUACGGGAGGCAGCAGUGGGGAAUAUUGCACAAUGGGCGGAAGCCUGAUGCAGCGACGCCGCGUGCGGGAUGACGGCCUUCGGGUUGUAAACCUCUUUCAGCAGGGACGAAGCGUAAGUGACGGUACCUGCUGAAGAAGCACCGGCUAACUACGUG